AACGAACGUUGGCGGCGUGGAUUAGGCAUGCAAGUCGUACGAGUUUCAUCUGGGUAACUGGAUGAAAAAGGGGCGAAAGGGGCAGGAAGGCAUGGAUAAUCUACCCUGAUGACCGGGAUAGCUUUCCCAACGGGCAGGUAAUACCGGAUGAACUGGUGGGGCCGCCUGGUUCUGCCAGGAAAGGCGCAAGCCGGGUCGGGAGGAAUCCAUGUGAUAUUAGCUAGUUGGUGAGGUAAAGGCUCACCAAGGCGAAGAUGUCUAGCGGGUGUGAGAGCACGACCCGCGCCAUUGGCACUGAGACACUGGCCAGACUCCUACGGGAGGCUGCAGUCGAGGAUCUUCGGCAAUGGGCGAAAGCCUGACCGAGCGACGCCGCGUGAGCGAUGAAGGCCAUUAGGUUGUAAAGCUCUGUCGAGGGGGAACAAGCCGCAAGGUUGAGUGAUCCCUGGAGGAAGCACGGGCUAAGUUCGUG
Molecule: ribosomal RNA, 472 nt
Filed under: uncultured bacterium
Lineage: Bacteria
Description: partial 16S ribosomal RNA
Rfam family: Bacterial small subunit ribosomal RNA
Source: RNAcentral